Non-coding RNA from Drosophila melanogaster (fruit fly), 601 nucleotides. Lineage: Eukaryota; Metazoa; Arthropoda; Insecta; Diptera; Drosophilidae. The record is from Ensembl.
UAAAAUGAAUCGGUCGUUCAAACUCAAAACUAUGAUAUUAAGAUAUUUUUAAGUUCGGUUUCAAAUCAGGAAAGCAAAAUUAAAUAACUUCCGUUUAUUUACCUCUUAAAUGAACAGGAGACCAGCUGUCUUAGAGUUCACCCACCUGGACACAUCUGCACUUUCCUUGGCGGUGACCUCCAAUCCAAAUUGCUGUUCAUUUAAACAAAAUGAAAUUCGUGCAAUUAAGACCGGGCUGCUGCUCUUGAUGGCGACGAUGAUGGCGUUGCAUGUUGUUGCGGACAGGACUCACUCACCUGGCCGCCCACCUCCUUGACCUCUGACCCCCCGUCCCCUGCUCCUUCCACGCGCUUUGGCGGUCGCGUCCUUUGGCUGCCAGAUGUUCGCGUCCUCCGGUUCCAACUGCUGUUCAUGUCCUUUGGCAUCUACGUGCAGCUCUUCAUUUGCAUCCGCAGCGAGGACCUGGUCUACGUCCUUCAUUAUAUGGGCCGCUGGCGGGAAGCAGCGUAAAAUAGGUUAGAGGUUAAUUUUAGUGCAAAGUUAUGCGCCCGAAAGUAUGCAAUUAGAUUGCGCCCGGCCAGGAGCAGCCUCCUGCGAUCCU